RNAcentral lists this ribosomal RNA (468 nucleotides) under uncultured bacterium. RNAcentral describes it as "partial 16S ribosomal RNA". It matches the Rfam family "Bacterial small subunit ribosomal RNA", at positions 28 to 507 of the family's 1533-position model. The record is from RNAcentral.
GACGAACGCUGGCGGCGUGCUUAACACAUGCAAGUCGAACGGAAAGGCCCUGCUUUUGUGGGGUGCUCGAGUGGCGAACGGGUGAGUAACACGUGAGUAACCUGCCCUUGACUUUGGGAUAACUUCAGGAAACUGGGGCUAAUACCGGAUAGGAGCUCCUGCUGCAUGGUGGGUGUUGGAAAGUUUCGGCGGUUGGGGAUGGACUCGCGGCUUAUCAGCUUGUUGGUGGGGUAGUGGCUUACCAAGGCUUUGACGGGUAGCCGGCCUGGGAGGGUGACCGGCCACAUUGGGACUGAGAUACGGCCCAGACUCCUGAGGGGGGCAGCAGUAGGGAAAAUUGAACAAUGGGCGGGAGCCUGAUGCAGCAACGCCGCGUGCGGGAUGACGGCCUUAGGGUUGUAAACCGCUUUCGCCUGUGACGAAGCGUGAGUGACGGUAAUGGGUAAAGAAGCACCGGAUAACUAAGUG